RNAcentral lists this ribosomal RNA (440 nucleotides) under uncultured bacterium. Its description in RNAcentral is "partial 16S ribosomal RNA". It matches the Rfam family "Bacterial small subunit ribosomal RNA", at positions 338 to 795 of the family's 1533-position model. The record is from RNAcentral.
CCUACGGGUGGCAGCAGUGGGGAAUAUUGCACAAUGGGGGAAACCCUGAUGCAGCGACGCCGCGUGAGUGAAGAAGUAAUUCGUUAUGUAAAGCUCUAUCAGCAGGGAAGAAAAUGACGGUACCUGAGUAAGAAGCCUCGGCUAACUACGUGCCAGCAGCCGCGGUAAUACGUAGGGGGCAAGCGUUAUCUGGAUUUACUGGGUGUAAAGGGAGCGUAGACGGCAGUGCAAGUCUGGAGUGAAAGGCGGGGGCUCAACCCCCGGACUGCUCUGGAAACUGUGAAGCUGGAGUGCAGGAGAGGUGAGCGGAAUUCCUGGUGUAGCGGUGGAAUGCGUAGAUAUCAGGAGGAACACCGGCGGCGAAGGCGGCUUACUGGACUGUAACUGACGUUGAGGCUCGAAGGCAUGGGGAGCAAACAGGAUUAGAUACCCGGGUAGUC